This 3268-nucleotide long non-coding RNA is filed under the name Homo sapiens (human). Its description in RNAcentral is "long non-coding RNA NONHSAT195359.1". The record is from RNAcentral. Lineage: Eukaryota; Metazoa; Chordata; Mammalia; Primates; Hominidae.
AUAGAGACAAUGUUUCACCAUGUUGGCCAGGCUGGUCUCGAACUCCUGACCUCAAGUGACCCGCCCGCCUUGUCCUCGAAUAGUGCUGGGAUUACAGGUGCGACCCACCACACCCGGCUGCAAUGUUUGUUUUAAUUACUUUUGGCAAGUAUUUCCUGAGUACCCCGAGCGUGCCAGGUGAAGAGAGACGGAUAAUAACAGCGCUAGCCAGCACGUAUUAAGCCUUGCAAAGCUGCACGGGCAUGAACUUGUGGCUUCAACACAACCUUAUGAGACAGGUUUUCACAAUGUCACCGAGGCUGGAGUGCAAUGGUGUGAUCUUGGCUCACUGCAGCCUCAACCUCCCAGGCUCAAGUGAUUCUCCCACCUCAGCCUCUCAAGUAGCUAGGACUAUAGAUGUGUACCACACUCGGCUAAUUUUUGUAUUUUUUUGUAGAGAUGGGGUUUUGCCAUGUUGCCCAGGCUGGUCUCAAACUCCUGGGCUCCAGCAAUCCUCCGCCUUAGCCUCCCAAAUUGCUGGGAUUACAGGCCUGAGCCACUGGCGCCUGGCCAUGACUCCUUUCUUGAAAGACUCUCACUGUCUCUUCUCUUGCCAUCUCUCUGCUCUUCCUUUUUCUGUCCUCCUUUGUCCUCCUCCUCUUUCUCCUUCUCUGUCUCUGCCUCUCUCUGUGUGUCUCUCUCUUCGUGUCUCUCUCUUCCGCACAUCAUGCAUUCUUACCAACCAUGACUAAACACUUAUGCGAUAGAAGAAUAUGUUUUCAGUAAUUCACUGUGGGUCUUGGCUUGUAGAAAUCCCACAAGCCAGGCUCUGUGCCUUCGCUACACUUUUGGUGAGAACUUCUGUGGACAGAGGCACAAAAGCCUCAAGCUGUGAGAUUCAAAAUCUGGUGGUUAAGCCAGCCCCUCAGCGCUCCCAGCCUGCGCCCCUCGUUGGAAACAAUGAGUUGGAAAGUGUCUUGAUGACUUUCAGCAGACAGACCUGCAAAGAAGAGAAGCUGAUCUGGACUCUGGCCUUCCUUCACAACACACUGACAAGCCCACCACAGCUGCCAAACAUGAGGUGAUGGGACAGCCCUCGUGGCCUCCACCCACCGCCCUGGUGGAGAAGUGAAACAUGAACCCACCAGUGCAAGACAGAGGAAGAGGCACCAGCGAAGUCACACUAGGGAGAAUCCACAUCAGCCUGGCCAUGCAGGGGAGGCCUCACGAAGCCCUGGGAAGCCAGAGCAAUAAAACUCUUGUUCAAACAAACGAUUACAGUGGUAAGACACGAAAAGGAAGCUGUUCCUGCUGAUGAAGGGUGAGAAACCUGGAGCCUUCCCUCCCUCCACGCCACGUGGCAGACACCUCAGGGAAUGCUGGGUCUCAGGAGAACAUGCCGAUCCCGUUAACACACAGUCUUCAUAUGAAACCAUGUGGGAACUCAACACAUGCUGUCUCCUCUCUAACCUGAGAUCCUGGCCCUGUUCCACAAAGCGAGGCAGCCUCUUAUAUACCCCUCACAAACCAAGUACUGGGGUGGUGGCCAAAGGGGAGAGACAGGCUAGGGUGUGGGUGGGCCGAAGAAAUCUGAGAGGGACAGGAGCUGCGGUGGCCUGGUCUCUGAGCCUGCAGAGGCUCCCUUCCAGAGAGAGAGCUUGGAACUCAGUCUCUGCCUCCCUCCUUCUCUCCCUCCCUCCAGCAGAACUGCCCUGCCCCAGGGGGUUCAUACCUCGCUAGUCCCCUAGGCCUACACCUUUCCUAAUCUUAGGAGAGACAUAAGAAAAGGAAUCUCUCCCCUUCCCCGCAGAAUACUUUUUUUUUUUUUUUAAACAGGGUCUCUCUCUGUCACCUGGCUGGAGUGCAGUGGCGCAAUCAUGCUCACUGCAACUCUGCCUCCUGGGCUCAAGUGAUCCUCCCACCUCAGCCUCCCAAGUAGCUGGGACCACAGGCAUGCACCACCACGCCUGGCUAAUUUUUGUAUUUUUUGUAGAGAUGGGAUUUCGCCAUGUUGCCCAGGCUGGUCUCAAACUCCCAGCCUCAAGUGAUCCUCCCACCUAGGCCUCCCAAAGUGCUGGGAUUACAGGCAUGAGCCACCGUGCCUGGCCCACAAUACUUUGGUAUAGUUGCUUCAAGCCCAGAUUCUGGUUCUUCGCACAGUCAACCUAUAGGGUGCCCCCCCACCGCCCCCCCCAUAGUCCUUGAUAGUCAUGCUGGGUUAGUUUCUCUAACCAGAGGAUGGGCCCAUUCUUCGCUGUGAGAUGGUGUGUGGGGACAUCGGUAAGGAACAAAUAAAGACUUGGGCAAAUAACUUUAUUCUGAGGUUGGUUAUCUCAGCCACAGGCUGAGCAUCAUAGUACCUAUUCCGCAGGGCUAUUUGGAGGAUUAAAUGAGAUAAUGUGUAUCAAAGCCCAACAUGACAGGAGCUCAGCGUAGAAGCAGUUCCAUACCAGAAAAAAGGAUGGCUUUGUCCCUUAGGUGUCGUGUCACCUCAGAUAAGGCAUUUCCCCUCUUUGAACUCCAGUUUCCUCAUUUGUAAAAUGAGCAUGUUUAAAAUUUUUUUUACUUAAAAAAGGGGCAUAUUAAUAUCUACCCUUCACAGUUGCUAUAAGUAGAGGCGAUUCACAUGACGUGGUUGAUACCUGGCACAAAGAAAGUACUCAAAACAGGAUAGUAAUAAUUGUAAUUAUUACUACUUUUACUAUUAUUAACUUAACUAGAAGGGCAGUGUGGUUUUAUAGUUAAGCACAUAAACUUUGCAGCCAAAUUUCCUAGGUUUAACUUACAAGUCAUCAAUGGAGCUGUGUGACUUUGAGCAAAUUACUUAACCUCUCUGUGCCUACAGUUCAUUAACUGUAUACUAAUUUACCUACUUCAUGGCCUUGCAGUGAUAAAGAAGUUAUUGUAUGUAGAGCACUUUGCAGAGUGCCUGGCAAAUAGUAAAUGCCACAAACACAUUUGCUGUAAUUAUUCUUAGUAAUAAAUAUCCAUAUUUGUACUAUUAUAGUCAUUAACAACUCGGCUCUGUGAAAGCCUUCUCCUUGGAUCCAAUUAAGGGACCCACAAACCAACAGAUCCACCAUCCUACAAAAGGUUUAGCCCCCUCAGAAGCUGUGUGACCUCGGGCUAGUUACCUCUCCUCUCUGAGCCUGCUUUUAUUUAUCUACAAAAUGUGAAUUGUAAUAGUACCCAUAAUGAUACUUCUAGGUUGUUUGACGUGCAUUAGUGAGCGAUGACCCGUGGGAAGCUUCUAGCUUCUAGUCAAUUAAGCCCUGGUCCCCGUGCUCUG